GCAGGUAACAACUGAAGGUUCUAAGGGAGCCCAGUGGAGGGGAGCUGAGGCCUUGGAGAUGACACCCGAGCUUGGGUUUGAAGGAUUAGGAAGACUUAGCCAGUGAAAAAGGUGGGAAGAGACCCCCUAAGUGAAGAGGAAAGCAUAAGCAAAUGUACCAAGGUGGGAGGUUCAUGCAGAGUGACAGGAAGCUCCCGAAGCUGCUUCCAUGUUGCUGUGUAAUCGGAAUGUGGAAACGAGAGGGGAUGCAGGGUGCAAAGACCAGCAAAGGAAAUCUGCUUUAUUUUGUAGGCAAUGGAAAGCCCUGAUGGAGCCCGGUGUAAACUAUGCAGGGUGCCAGAGCCCCCACUGACAGCGCUGGUGUCCACAUGUGGUCACAGGGAUACAGCGGCAGCAUCCCAAAGCCCUAGCCUGGUCCAUCACCCUCAAAACUGCCUCUGGUUUGUCCAAGUCUACCAGGAUUCAAGUUCAUUUCAGAAAAGCAGUGGCCAGAAACCAAGGCCUGGAGGGGGCUGGGGAGGUGUCAGGGAAGGGAUCAGAGGCCAAGCUCUGUGUUUCCUCAGACAAAGAGAGAAAGCAGGCUGAGAGAUGGCGGCAGCAUGUGACACCUGGGCCACAGGCCUGGGCAGCAGCCGUGGCAGCCAAGGGGAUAAUGGCUCUCUUUGUCCUGCGUGUAAAUUCUCCGGAAAAGAAAGGAUUCCAGGGCCUGCUUCUCCGGCUUGCACAAUGCUGGCCGCCUGGGGCCCCACUGCGAGGGCCUGCCAUGGCAUUCGGGGAGCAGUGAGGCCCCUUCUCUGUCUCGUUCCUUCCAGGCGUGCAGAAGCGGAAAGUCAGGCUGCCGUGCCAGACAUUCUGCAGGGGGUUGGGAGGCUGGGCUGAGGCACAGCCUGUGCCAGGAGCUUUGUUUCACAGCCUCGAGGAAACCAAAGCAUCUUGAAGCUCUGAAUUAGAAAGAGUCUUAGAGAGCAUCCAUGCCAGCUCUUCCUAAUACUUGUCCCACCCCCUACCUUCUCUGCCUACCACUCCCCACUCCCCUGCCUUCAGCAGCCAAGAAUGGUUACAAACACAGGCUUUGGAGUCAGAGAGGGCUGAGUUCAAAUGCUGACAAUGCCACUCACAAGCUAUUUCAUCUCUAUGGGCUUCAGUUUCUCCACCUGCAAAAUGGACAUAAUAGCACCUACUCAUAAGAUUGUCAAUAGGAAUAAGUGAGAAAAUGCAUGUACCAUGCUUAAUGUGGACACAGCCUCCAGAAGCGCUCAAUAAGGGUAGACGGUCCAGUAGGUCACCCAGCCUGUACUUGAUUUCCUCCAAGGGCAGGCAAUCACUGCUUGCAUUCCAUUUUCAGACCAAGUUCAAAUCUGUCUCUUAUACCCUCAUGGGUGCUGAGGGUAAAGGGGAGAGGGCCUACAUACAUUAAACAUUUCCUACAUGUUACUGUUGCCAUAAAUUACUCACAGAACUUAAGGGCCUGUCUUAGUCUAUUUGUGUUGCUAUAAAGGAAUACCCGAGGCUGGGUAAUUUAUAAAGACAAGAGGUUUAUUUGGCUCAUGGUUCUGCAGGCUGUACAAGAAGCAUGGAGCCAGCGUCUGGUCUGGUGAGGGCCUCAGGAAGCUUCCAUUCAUGGAAAGGGGAAGGAGAGCUAGUGUGCAGAGAUCACAUGCUAAGAGAGGAAUGGGGAGGGGGUGGUGCAGAGGUGCCAGGAUUUUUAGCAGCCAGCUCUCAUGAAAACUAAUAGAGUGAGAGCUCAUUUAUUACAAUGCAAGAAUGGCACCAAGCAAUUCAUGAGGGAUCAGCCACCAUGACACAAACACCUCCCAUGAGGCCCCACCUCCAGUAUUGGGGAUCACAUUUCAACAUGAGGGUUGGAGGGGUCAAAUAUCCAAACCAUAGCAGGGCCUGUCCAGGGCCACACAGAGGAAGUGACCAGGAUUUGAGCCUGAGUCUUUCCAGCCUUCUGCACCAUGAUGCCGUAAGGGAAAACUUUAUAUAUGUGAAAACAGCUCCACGGCCCCCUCAGUGUCUUCUCUUCCCCACAGAAAACAUCUCCUAGGCCUCAGGGUUUCGUUUUGUGUUCUGCCACCAUCCUGGCCCCUAUCCUCUUGACAGGCUCUAAUUUGUUACUGUCUCUCUUAAAUAAAUAGCUUGCAGACUUAUUCCAGCUGUCUUCUGACCAGUGCAGAAUAGGAAUGCACUCUCACCUCCUUUAUUCUAGGGGCUCUGUUUUUGCUAAUAACACCUAAGAUGAUGUGGCCCUUGGACCAUUCACAUUAUGCUGAUGGCUCUCUCAUACUUAAUGAUCUUCAAUCUGCAAGAAUAACAAGAGCCUUUGUGCUCUGAACAGCUCGUAGCAGUCAUUGCAGAUCUUCAUUUCAGGUAAUAGAACCUUCUUCAACUAGUUUAAGCAGUCAAGCCUUUUAUAUAUUUGGUGGCUCACAGAAUCUCCAGCAGGGCUGAAGAGUCAGGCGUGGAAGAGACACACCCAGGAACAACUCACCAACCACUCCUGACCCGGCUUCUCCACUGGAGACACCAUUGCCAUUAGACAAGAAUGAACCUGCACACCUUGCUGAUGCUGGUGUAGCACUGUCGCUAGAACCUCUGCCUCUGCUCCUCUUGGUCUCCCACAUUCAGUACCUCCUUCUUCACCUUGGUCUCUUCUAAGCCUCCGCCCCUCCCACAAUGGAUAGGGCUGACCUGUGUAACCAACAGGAUGUUGCAGAAAUGACAUAGUGUGACUUCAACACUAAGUCACAUAAGACAUCGCAACUUCUGCCUUGCUCUUUUGGAGCACUUGUUGUAGGGAAAACCAGCUGCCAUGUCAUAAGGACACUUAAGCAAUGCUCUGGAGAGAUCUACAUGGCAAAGAACUGAGGCCUCCUGCCAACCCCCAGCACAAAUGAGCCAGGCAUGCAAGACAUCAUCUUGGAAAGGGAUCCUGCAGCCUCACUUGAGCCUUCAGAUGAUGCAGCUCCAGCUGACAUCUUGGCUGCAACCUCAUGAGGGACCCUGGGCCAGCACCACCCAGCCAAGCUGCUCCAGACACCUGAUCCACAAAAACUUUGUGAGAUAAUAAAAUAAAAUACAUUUUAACAUUUUUUGCUUACA
Molecule: long non-coding RNA, 3105 nt
Filed under: Homo sapiens (human)
Lineage: Eukaryota; Metazoa; Chordata; Mammalia; Primates; Hominidae
Description: HSALNT0143169
Source: RNAcentral